GAUGAACGCUGGCGGCGUGCCUAAUACAUGCAAGUCGAGCGAACGGACGAGAAGCUUGCUUCUCUGAUGUUAGCGGCGGACGGGUGAGUAACACGUGGAUAACCUACCUAUAAGACUGGGAUAACUUCGGGAAACCGUAGCUAAUACCGGAUAAUAUUUUGAACCGCAUGGUUCAAAAGUGAAAGACGGUCUUGCUGUCACUUAUAGAUGGAUCCGCGCUGCAUUAGCUAGUUGGUAAGGUAACGGCUUACCAAGGCAACGAUGCAUAGCCGACCUGAGAGGGUGAUCGGCCACACUGGAACUGAGACACGGUCCAGACUCCUACGGGAGGCAGCAGUAGGGAAUCUUCCGCAAUGGGCGUAAGCCUGACGGAGCAACGCCGCGUGAGUGAUGAAGGUCUUCGGAUCGUAAAACUCUGUUAUUAGGGAAGAACAUAUGUGUAAGUAACUGUGCACAUCUUGACGGUACCUAAUCAGAAAGCCACGGCUAACUACGUG
This 497-nucleotide ribosomal RNA is filed under the name uncultured bacterium. RNAcentral describes it as "partial 16S ribosomal RNA". It matches the Rfam family "Bacterial small subunit ribosomal RNA", at positions 28 to 507 of the family's 1533-position model. The record is from RNAcentral.